UAAACUGAACUUUUCCAUGCAGUCAGCAUUAGGGUUUUAAACCCUAAACUGAAUUCUCCUUUUAGUCAGCAUUAGGGUUUUAAACCCUAAACUGAACUUUUCCUUUCAGCCAGCAUUAGGGUUUUAAACCCUAAACUGAACUUUUCCUUUCAGCCAGUAUUAGAGUUUUAAACCCUAAACUGAGCUUUCCCAUGCAAUCAACAUUAGGGUUUUAAACCCUAAACUGAGUUCUUCCUUUGAUCGGCGUUAGGGUUUUAACCCCCAAACCGAACCUCUCCCCAGCUGGCCAGUGUUAGGGCUCCAACCCUGAACUGAGCAUGCAUAUCCUCUUUCAUCAAUUUUAUGAACUUCCUGGUGAAUAAUUAACGAAAUUUUCCUAGUGAAACUGGGGCAGAAAAUUUCGUUCGUUUGUUUGUUUUUUCCCGCAGGUCUAACCUCGAGCCACACGGAUCGAAAUGACCUACGAGAUGAGUCUCAACUCAGAAUCAAAGAAGAAAAGACAAAAGAAGAC
RNAcentral lists this long non-coding RNA (511 nucleotides) under Nicotiana tabacum (common tobacco). RNAcentral's name for it is "long non-coding RNA (NTAB_LNC011479)". The record is from RNAcentral. Lineage: Eukaryota; Viridiplantae; Streptophyta; Magnoliopsida; Solanales; Solanaceae.